CUACCCGAUGCAUCGUGCGUGCCUCACCUCCAUCUGCACUUAGACAGAGAGAUGGACUGGCGCCUAUGACGCCCUGGUCGACUACGCGGUCGCCGCCGUCCGCGAGCCCGGGUGCACGGUGGCUCUCACAGACUUCCACCACUGCGUCGACGCUUCAGCGAGUCCUGCGACCGAGCCGACGGCCUCGUCCAGGUGGCCGCCGCCGGCCUCGGCCCCGCCGCCUCCCGCCACAACGAGAUGUUCCGCGCGCUCAUGGACCUCCACCGCUGCCUCGACGCCUUCAGCGAUUCCCGCGACUGAGCCAAGGGCCUCGUCCAGGCGGCCGCCACGGCCGCGCCGCCUCCCGUCACGACAAGCUGUUCCGUGCCGUGCGCGUGGUCGACAAAGAUCUCCGGGCCGCCGCUGCCGGCUGGGAGAAGAAUCGCCCUCCGACCACGCCACUGGCAGCCGAGGACAAAUAGCCCAAUCAAUCUACCCCGUCUCCUAUUCAGGUGAUGUUUAUCAUUCUUGUUUUUUCCAUGUGAUGUUCAUCGUUCCUCUUAUUUUCUCGGUUGAUGUGCUAAUCAUGUUAGUCAAAGAUGAAUGAAACUGUGACGGGAAAGGAGAGAUGGACCGGGAUAUUUUUCCUCGGCAUGUCGCAUGGUGGCCGAGAUGCGGCAGCCCCAUGCUCUGUUCUGAUGGGCCUCCUCUGCUCGAUGGUUGCCGCUGGUUGAGUUUGGUACAGUUUCCUGUUGUCGCUUGCGUCGAGCCCUAGGUCCGUCUCUCCUUCUCAUUGAGCCUACUUCUCCUGUCGCUGGCGCUUCUUCUUCUCGUCCGUCCCGCUGCUUAACCAACGUGCUUAUGCUUGCUGCCUCGAGUUGUACGAUCUCUUCUGUCGCUGCGUCGUUCGACUCAUCAAGGUUUUCUUCUUUCCUUUCUACUACAUGUGUGUGUUAUACUUUCAGUAUCUUCUGUGUCAUGUCUGCCUUGGUGAUCUUUUAAAUAUAUGUAUGUCGUGCUGAUCGUUUAAAUAUUCCGGAUAUGGUCGGGCGUUGUGUGUUGUUCUUUCUCGUGCUGCUUAUAUUUCGUGUAUGCGUGUGAGCAGGAUGUGUAUGCCUGUUUCCGUUGUUAUACCAGUUUUGGAGGCCAUGGUAACUCGAUACCACCCACGCUCACUCUUUCUGUUGUACACAAGCAUAUUUGUCCAAUUCUCAGACUAAGUUUCUGAAAGAAACCGCAGUUCAUUACAACGCCAAUUAUGGAUAUGGAUCCAUCUUGCUACGCUGGAUGAAGGACUGGAUGUAAUAAGAAUUGCAUGUGACAAAUAGGUGCCUCCUCUAUGCAUAACUUUUGGCUAAUAUCAUUGAAUUUCUCCUGAGAUCUCUCUAGACCUUUCCAAAUGUAUUUUAGUUAGGUGUUUGUAUUAACUAGCAGAAGAAGGGAUGCAAAUGGAAAGAAUUUGAGAUGCAUAAACAUAAAAGCACUAAAAGAUUUGCUUGAAGCAAAGAUGUCUAGCCGGCAUACAUAUGGCAAGAACCUUCAGAGAUUGAUUUCUUUUCACCUGCUAUUCAGAUAUAUACUUGCUCAUAGGUCACAACUCAUGAAGUUACUUCUUUUGGUUUUGAUUUUGAAAUAUAUGUGUCAUAGGUCACGACUGAUGAAGUUACUUCCUUUUGGUGAAGGUCUGAAUAUCAUCAGUAUCUUGGCUGAGAGGCUGACAUUUCGGAAGGUUCUCAUCUGUGUAGAUUAGUUGAUAGGAUGACAAUUUAAGUUUAUUGAAGCUCUUCUUUAGGAGGCGGGGUUCUGCUUUGGUUUCUUGCUAUUUGCAGUUUGAUGCUUGUGGUAUCCCAUAUGAAAUUCUACAAUUUGUUUUAGCUUUUGUAGUUUUCUAUUCAUUAUCCCUACCCAUUGUGAUGUGUAUGUUUAUAUGCUUCAUGGACAGCGGGAUUUAAUAUCACUUGCUUCUCAGUCUUCUCCACCCUCGACAUGCGUAGGCCAAAAAGGCGGAGACGAGUCAUGAUCCUCCAGGCUAUGGCUGCUGGUUGCAGACAGGGUUUAAGCACAGGAAUCGCAAAAGUUGUGCCCCAUGAGGCCAGUGACCCCCAUGUGGCCAGCAACUAAAGGCUAGAUUCAUUCUCGUUGAAUGUAACCUGCCUGACAGUAAAUUAGUGUCACAUUGGUUAUCUUUAGCUUGGACGAAAAUGAAUGGACGAGCUUCAGUAUGACGAGGAGAGAGCAAUCUUGUUCAGUUUUAAUCGGGACAGAUGAAGGACAACCAUGUAAAAGGAUAUUUUCUAUGGUAAUGUUGAAAUGAAGAUAUAUUGCUUUUAAGAAAGGAGCACUAUGGAGUAUUGAAGCGAGCUGAUUAAUGUAAAAAAUAUCACAGAAUGAAACAUUAGCUGGUGCCAUCCAAACACUAUUAUGUACCUUCAGCAGUAAUGGAUCAUUCGCUUUGCUUGGUCAACCUUGCAACUAAAUCUCUUCAACAUUUGGCUAAUUCUGGUUUUUGGUAAUGCUUUCUUGAUAGUGGAGCAGUCAUAGGCCUGUUAUAGAGAUCUUGGUGAAGAACUCGUCACUGCAAUUUUGUCAAAUGGGUGUUGAGAUUGAAGUUUAUGCUUUUGUUGACUUUCUGAUAAAUUACAGCAACAUCGACAAGGUUAUGUGGGAGCCUUUCAUAGAGCCCUCAUAUAUUCAGUUAAAUAUACUUUGAAAUGUGCUGAUCAUGCACUGGAUGUAUCUCCCAGUACUCUGUGUUGCUAAAUUCAAGCAAGCAGCUUAAUGUUUCCAUAUCAGAGCCCUUGAUCGAGUGUGUGAUAAUUCGAGCCUCCAUGGAAGCAUCAACCGGAUCUGGCUGGCCCACAUACGCACGCCUCCUCUUUGCCCGGUGGCUCAUGGAAGCGGUGGCGUACGAUGAUGGCUUCCAUAUGGAGUAGAUGAAUCAUCAUAGAUAGUUCUUAUGUUACAUGUACAAAGGAGAGCAUUGUUUCACGAAAGCAUGGAUCCACGCCAGUGACCAGUGAAGAAAGGGCUCAUGAACAAGAUAAAAAACUUUCAACCAUCUUUUGUUUACAAGGAAAGACGCUUUUUGUUAAAUUAGUCUUGUUGACUUCCGUAUGUAUUAUCGUAUUCUACCUCUUCUAUUAUAUCCAAAUUACUAUAUGAUGUAAUUGACCACUCUUAUUAAGAACUGGGCACAGUGAUUUAUGCUAUCAUUAUCUUAAGUAA
Molecule: long non-coding RNA, 3204 nt
Organism: Triticum dicoccoides
Lineage: Eukaryota; Viridiplantae; Streptophyta; Magnoliopsida; Poales; Poaceae
Exons: 10
Source: RefSeq, a predicted model, not a curated record